GCCACCGUAGCUUAUGCAAAGCAUAACACUGAAAAUGUUAAGUAGGGCCCUGAAAAGCCCCGGAAGCA
RNAcentral lists this transfer RNA (68 nucleotides) under Pseudalutarius nasicornis (rhino leatherjacket). RNAcentral describes it as "tRNA-Phe". It matches the Rfam family "tRNA". From Rfam's summary of the family: Transfer RNA (tRNA) molecules are approximately 80 nucleotides in length. Their secondary structure includes four short double-helical elements and three loops (D, anti-codon, and T loops). Lineage: Eukaryota; Metazoa; Chordata; Actinopteri; Tetraodontiformes; Monacanthidae. The record is from RNAcentral.